RNAcentral lists this ribosomal RNA (2808 nucleotides) under human gut metagenome. RNAcentral's name for it is "bacterial LSU rRNA". It matches the Rfam family "Bacterial large subunit ribosomal RNA". The record is from RNAcentral.
AGAGCGCAAGGGGAAUGCCUUGGCACCAAGAGCCGAAGAAGGACGCAACUAACUGCGAAAAGCUGCGGGGAGUCGUAAGUAGACAACGAUCCGCAGGUAUCCGAAUGGAGCAAUCCGUCAGGAGUCAAGUCCUGACAUCAUAUACUGAAUACAUAGGUAUAUGAGGGGAACCGCCUGAACUGAAACAUCUAAGUAGGGCGAGGAAAAGAAAUCAACCGAGAUUCCGCGAGUAGUGGCGAGCGAAAGCGGAAGAGGCCAAACCGAAUGUAGAAAUAUGUUCGGGGUAAGGACAGCAUAAUGCAUUGUGGAAACCUAGUCGAAUGAGAUGGGAAGCUCAACAAAACAGUGUGAGAGUCACGUAGACGAAAGGACGAAGCAGCAGGCUGUAUCCGGAGUACCGCGGGACACGAGGAAUCCCGUGGGAAGAUGGGGGGACCAUCCUCCAAGCCUAAAUACUACUUGGUGACCGAUAGCGAAAAGUACUGUGAAGGAAAGGUGAAAAGAACCCCGGGAGGGGAGUGAAAUAGAACCUGAAACCUUGUGCUUACAAGCACCGAGAGCUCAUUAACGAGUGAUCGGGUACCUUUUGUAGAAUGGUCCGGCGAGUGAAUGUAACUAGCAAGGUUAAGCACUUAAGGUGCGAAGCCGUAGCGAGAGCAAGUCUGAAAAGGGCGUAAUAAAGUUAGUUGUAUUCGACCCGAAACCGGGUGACCUAGCCAUGUCCAGGUUGAAGUGGAGGUAAAACUCCAUGGAGGACCGAACCGACUCCCGUUGAAAUGGUAGCGGAUGAGGUGUGGCUAGCGGAGAAAUUCCAAUCGAACCCGGAGAUAGCUGGUUCUCUCCGAAAUAGCUUUAGGGCUAGCCUCAAUUAACAUUACCGCAGGUAAAGCACUGAAUGAGCUAGGGGGCGAAAGCUUACUGAACUCUAUCAAACUCAGAAUGGCGGAUAAUGAAUGAUUGGGAGUCACACUACGUGAGAUAAGUUUCGUGGUGGAAAGGGAAACAGCCCAGACCCACAGCUAAGGUCCCAAAGUACGGUUAAGUGGAAAAGGAUGUGGGGUUGCACAGACAACCAGGAUGUUGGCUUAGAAGCAGCCACUCAUUAAAAGAGUGCGUAAUAGCUCACUGGUCGAGUGACUCUGCGCCGAAAAUUUAACGGGGCUAAACUAUACACCGAAGCUUGGGAUGUACCGCAAGGUAUAUGGUAGGAGAGCGUUCUGUAAGGGGCGAAGUCGUAGCGAAAGCAGCGGUGGACUUUACAGAAGUGAGAAUGCCGGAAUGAGUAGCGAGAAAUAUGUGAGAAUCAUAUUGGCCGAAAGUCUAAGGUUUUUGGAGGAAGGUUCGUCCGCUCCAAGUAAGUCGGGAGCUAAGGUGAGGCCGAAAGGCGUAGCCGAUGCACAUACGGUAGAUAUUCCGUAACCGUCGAAGAAUUAAAGCACAGGGACAUCUGAGGAAGACAUAACCCGGGCGUUGGUAGACCCGGGCGUAAGGGACCGAAAAUAAGUAGGGAAGUAUGUUGGAAUUAGGGCGAGAAAAGCUGUGUGUAAAUUCAAGAUGCCCGUACCGCAAACCGACACAGGUAGAUAGGAAGAGAAUUCUAAGGCCAACGGGAGAAGGGUAGUUAAGGAACUCGGCAAAUUGACCCCGUAACUUAGGGAAAAGGGGUGCUCACGAAGGUGAGCCGCAGAGAAUAGGCCCAGGCGACUGUUUAGCAAAAACACAGGUCUCUGCCAAAUCGAAAGAUGAAGUAUAGGGGCUGACACCUGCCCGGUGCUGGAAGGUUAAGAGGAAGUGUGCAAGCACUGAAUUGAAGCCCCAGUAAACGGCGGCCGUAACUAUAACGGUCCUAAGGUAGCGAAAUUCCUUGUCGGGUAAGUUCCGACCCGCACGAAUGGCGUAACGACUUGUGAGCUGUCUCAACAGGAGGCCCGGUGAAAUUGAAGUAUGUGUGAAGAUGCACAUUACCCGCGACUGGACGGAAAGACCCCGUAGAGCUUUACUGUAACCUGACAUUGGAUCUUGAUAACGGAUGCACAGGAUAGGUGGGACGCUGGGAGACGAGGACUUUGGUUUUCGUGGAGCGGCCGUUGGGAUACCACUCUUCUGUUAUUGAGAUUCUAACCUCAAGCCGUGAGCCGGAUGAGAGACAGUGUCAGGCGGACAGUUUGACUGGGGCGGUCGCCUCCGAAAGAGUAACGGAGGCGCCCAAAGGUACCCUCAGAAUGGAUGGAAACCAUUCGAAGAGCGCAAAGGCAGAAGGGUGCCUGACUGCGAGAUUGACAAAUCGAGCAGAGACGAAAGUCGGGCUUAGUGAUCCGGCGGUAUUGAGUGGAAAAGCCGUCGCUUAACGGAUAAAAGCUACCUCGGGGAUAACAGGCUGAUCUCCCCCAAGAGUCCACAUCGACGGGGAGGUUUGGCACCUCGAUGUCGGCUCAUCGCAUCCUGGGGCUGUAUUCGGUCCCAAGGGUUUGGCUGUUCGCCAAUUAAAGCGGCACGCGAGCUGGGUUCAGAACGUCGUGAGACAGUUCGGUCCCUAUCCAUCGUGGGCGUAGGAGUCAUGAGAGGAGCUGUUCCUAGUACGAGAGGACCGGAAUGGACGCACCACUGGUGCAACUGUUGUCGUGCCAACGGCAUAGCAGGGAAGCGAAGUGCGGAUGGGAUAAACGCUGAAGGCAUCUAAGCGUGAAGCCCACCUCAAGAAUAAGACUCCACAAUAGACCCCUGGAGGACUACCAGGUAGAUAGGUCAUCGGUGGAAGCGCUGUAAGGCGUGCAGCUUGAUGAUACUAAUCGGUCGAAAGCUUCAUUU